UUGGGACGGAAUAACCCUGGGAACUGGGGCUAAUAUUCAAUAGAUGGAAACGCCUGGAAUGGCCUUCCGUCGAAAAGCCCUUGGAAACAUGCUUCCAAGAGCGCCUAAGGAUGAGACUGCGUCCGAUCAGGCUGUUGGUGGGGUAACGGCCCACCAAACCUAUAACCGGUACGGGCCCUGAGAGGGGGAGCCCGGAGAUGGGAACUGAGACAAGGUCCCAGGCCCUACGGGGCGCAGCAGGCGCGAAAACUCCACAAUGCGCGAAAGCGUGAUGGGGUUACCCCGAGUGCCGUCCGAUGAGGAUGGCUUUUCCCCAGUGUAAGGAGCUGGGGGAAUAAAGGGGGGGCAAGACUGGUGUCAGCCGCCGCGGUAAUACCAGCCCCCUGAGUGAUAGGGACGAUUAUUUAGCCUAAAGCGUCCGUAGCCGGCUUAGUAAGUCUUUCGUCAAAUCUGACGGCUUAACCGUUAGGCCGCGGAAGAUACUGCUAGGCUAGAGGGCGGGAGAGGUUGACGGUAUUCCUGGGGUAGGGGUGAAAUCCUAUAAUCCCAGGAGGACCACCAGUGGCGAAGGCGGUCAACUAGAACGCGCCUGACGGUGAGGGACGAAAGCUGGGGGAGCGAACCGGAUUAGACACCCGGGUAGUCCCAGCUGUAAACGAUGCGGGCUAGGUGUUGGGGCAGCUACGAGCUACUCCAGUGCCGCAGAGAAGUUGUUAAGCCCGCCGCUUGGGAAGUACGGCCGCAAGGCUGAAACUUAAAGGAAUUGGCGGGGGAGCAC
This 778-nucleotide ribosomal RNA is filed under the name uncultured archaeon. Its description in RNAcentral is "bacterial SSU rRNA". It matches the Rfam family "Archaeal small subunit ribosomal RNA", at positions 115 to 879 of the family's 1478-position model. The record is from RNAcentral.